AGCUCAAAUUUAAAAUCUGGCAGAUGCUUGUCUSYCCGAGWUGUAACCUAGAGAAGUGUAACCUGUGCUGGACCGUGUACAAGUCUCCUGGAAUGGAGCAUCAUAGAGGGUGAGAAUCCCGUCUUUGACAUGGACUACCAGUGCACUGUGGUUGCGCACUCAACGAGUCGAGUUGUUUGGGAAUGCAGCUCUAAAUGGGUGGUAAAUUCCAUCUAAAGCUAAAUAUUGGCGAGAGACCGAUAGCGAACAAGUACCGUGAGGGAAAGAUGAAAAGAACUUUGGAAAGAGAGUUAAACAGUAUGUGAAAUUGUUGAAAGGGAAACGCUUGAAGUCAGCUGCAUUGGCUGGGGAUCAAGCCAGCUUAUUUGCUGGGUGUACUUCCUGGUUGAUGGGCCAACAUCAGUUUUGACCAUCAGAGAAAGGCAAAGGGAAUGUGGCAUCUUUAUAGGUGUGUUAUAGCCCUUGGUUGUAUGUGGUGGUUGGGACUGAGGAUAGCAGCGUGCCACAAGGCUGGGUUUCGACCACGUUCACGCUUU
RNAcentral lists this ribosomal RNA (536 nucleotides) under Amanita sp. ANDES_F973_NVE473. RNAcentral's name for it is "eukaryotic LSU rRNA". It matches the Rfam family "Eukaryotic large subunit ribosomal RNA", at positions 106 to 617 of the family's 3401-position model. Lineage: Eukaryota; Fungi; Basidiomycota; Agaricomycetes; Agaricales; Amanitaceae. The record is from RNAcentral.